AUUGAACGCUGGCGGCAGGCUUAACACAUGCAAGUCGAGCGGGGUGAUGGUGCUUGCACUAUCACUUAGCGGCGGACGGGUGAGUAAUGCUUAGGAAUCUGCCUAUUAGUGGGGGACAACAUCUCGAAAGGGAUGCUAAUACCGCAUACGUCCUACGGGAGAAAGCAGGGGAUCACUUGUGACCUUGCGCUAAUAGAUGAGCCUAAGUCGGAUUAGCUAGUUGGUGGGGUAGAGGCCUACCAAGGCGACGAUCUGGAGCGGGUCUGAGAGGAUGAUCCGCCACACUGGGAAUGAGAAACGGGCCAGACUCCUACGGGAGGCAGCCGUGGGGAAUAUUGGACAAUGGGGGUAACCCUGAUCUAGCCAUGCCGCGUGUGUGAAGAAGGCCUUAUGGUUGUAAAGCACUUUAAGCGAGGAGGAGGCUCUUUUGGUUAAUACCCAAGAUGAGUGGACGUUACUCGCAGAAUAAGCACCGGCUAACUCUGUGCCAGCAGCCGCAGUAA
RNAcentral lists this ribosomal RNA (503 nucleotides) under uncultured bacterium. RNAcentral's name for it is "partial 16S ribosomal RNA". It matches the Rfam family "Bacterial small subunit ribosomal RNA", at positions 30 to 523 of the family's 1533-position model. The record is from RNAcentral.